GACGAACGCUGGCGGCGUGCUUAACACAUGCAAGUCGAACGGAAAGGCCCUGCUUUUGUGGGGUGCUCGAGUGGCGAACGGGUGAGUAACACGUGAGUAACCUGCCCUUGACUUUGGGAUAACUUCAGGAAACUGGGGCUAAUACCGGAUAGGAGCUCCUGCUGCAUGGUGGGGGUUGGAAAGUUUCGGCGGUUGGGGAUGGACUCGCGGCUUAUCAGCUUGUUGGUGGGGUAGUGGCUUACCAAGGCUUUGACGGGUAGCCGGCCUGAGAGGGUGACCGGCCACAUUGGGACUGAGAUACGGCCCAGACUCCUGCGGGAGGCAGCAGUGGGGAAUAUAGCACAAUGGGCGGAAGCCUGAUGCAGCAACGCCGCGUGCGGGAUGACGGCCUUCGGGUUGUAAACCGCUUUCGCCUGUGACGAAGCGUGAGUGACGGUAAUGGGUAAAGAAGCACCGGCUAACUACGUG
Molecule: ribosomal RNA, 468 nt
Filed under: uncultured bacterium
Lineage: Bacteria
Description: partial 16S ribosomal RNA
Rfam family: Bacterial small subunit ribosomal RNA
Source: RNAcentral